ACCCUGGUGGUCCAGUGUUUAAGCCUCUGCACUUCCAGUGCAGGGGGUGUGGGUUCAAUUCCUAGUCAGGGAA
Molecule: transfer RNA, 73 nt
Filed under: Bos taurus (domestic cattle)
Lineage: Eukaryota; Metazoa; Chordata; Mammalia; Artiodactyla; Bovidae
Also listed under: 5 other names
Rfam family: tRNA
About the family: Transfer RNA (tRNA) molecules are approximately 80 nucleotides in length. Their secondary structure includes four short double-helical elements and three loops (D, anti-codon, and T loops).
Source: Rfam by way of RNAcentral